GGGAUAAUCACUGGAAACGGUGACUAAUACCGCAUAAUAUUCUUGGAAGGCAUCUUCCGAGAAGGAAAGGAAAUACUCGGUAAAAGAUGGGCCCGCAUCUGAUUAGCUAGUUGGUGAGAUAACAGCCCACCAAGGCGACGAUCAGUAGCCGACCUGAGAGGGUGACCGGCCACAUUGGGACUGAGACACGGCCCAAACUCCUACGGGAGGCAGCAGUGGGGAAUAUUGCACAAUGGGGGGAACCCUGAUGCAGCAACGCCGCGUGAAGGAAGACGGUUUUCGGAUUGUAAACUUCUAUCAAUAGGGAAGAAAGAAAUGACGGUACCUAAAUAAGAAGCCCCGGCUAACUACGUGCCAGCAGCCGCGGUAAUACGUAGGGGGCAAGCGUUAUCCGGAAUUACUGGGUGUAAAGGGAGAGUAGGCGGCAAGGUAAGCGAUAUGUGAAAGCCUUAGGCUUAACCUGAGGAUUGCAUAACGAACUAUCUAGCUUGAGUACAGGAGAGGAAAGCGGAAUUCCUAGUGUAGCGGUGAAAUGCGUAGAUAUUGGGAAGAACACCAGUGGCGAAGGCGGCUUUCUGGACUGAAACUGACGCUGAGGCUCGAAAGCGUGGGGAGCGAACAGGAUUAGAUACCCUGGUAGUCCACGCUGUAAAC
This 654-nucleotide ribosomal RNA is filed under the name uncultured bacterium. RNAcentral's name for it is "bacterial SSU rRNA". It matches the Rfam family "Bacterial small subunit ribosomal RNA", at positions 140 to 807 of the family's 1533-position model. The record is from RNAcentral.